UCAUCAGGUAGGAUAAUCCUUACCUGUUCCUCCUCCUCAGGGAGGAGGGCAGCGAGAAAAUGAUGAGCAGAGCCCUCAUGACACGUUAUUAGCGCCUCCUGGCGGUCUAGGCCUGCAACACCCCGAUUGCUCCUAAAAAAA
Suncus etruscus (white-toothed pygmy shrew) is the source of this 141-nucleotide small nucleolar RNA. RefSeq annotates it as U8 small nucleolar RNA. Lineage: Eukaryota; Metazoa; Chordata; Mammalia; Eulipotyphla; Soricidae. The transcript has a single exon. The record is from RefSeq and is a predicted model, not a curated record.